CUUGUUUAAAUAAACAUUCAAAACAACUGUGUAAAGGAUUCCUUUCUUACCACCUUAAAGUGCAUACCAUUAGCUACACAGAAGUGUAUUUCUGCCUGAGUUUCCCCUGCUUCUUUUGGAAAGACCUCAUGUAUCUAUAGCAGCAGUGUGAGCAAAACAGCUUUGCACUCAUUGCAAAACGCACAGAAAGGGAGUUGGCUCAGGAGUGUACUAUUAGUCUGUUCCCAAUUCUCUCAUACUAUUUCACCUCUUACUAGAGGAGGGGCUAAUACUCCAAAAUAGUGAAGUAUUGGCAGAAGAUUUGUUGCAGACAUUUUAUCACUUCAGUGGAUGAAAUCUGACCAUCAUAAUUAUCAUGAAUACCAAGGCCAGAUAUAAUAAGAUAACUGUUGUUAUACUGUUUCCAGAUGAUAUUCUUAGACACAAUAAAUGUUAAAAAAACAGAACCCACACCUGGUUUUGAGGUAGGAAAAAUUUUAAAAAGGACGGUGAAUGCUAUUGAGCCAACCAUCAGCAGAAACCAGCUCCCUGCCUUACAGAGAGUCCAUACAGCAGCUGAACAGACAAUCAGCUAGGAAGCACCUUCUGGACAUAAACCAGCUGGAUUUCUGAUGCUUACCCACCAGGGAGCCAGCAGGAUGGACAAUAAAGCACUCUCAGAAACCACACCUCAAACGCCAAGGAGAUGAGGCCCGAGGCAGUCUGUGGAAAAGGCUUUGGAGAAGCUAAAUAGAAGAAGGGAAGAAAGGCAGUUAGCAAGGCACUUGGAAGUUUAGGCGAGCCAGCAGCAAGCCACUCGGUGAUCCAUACAAGCAGCCAGAGAAAG
This 826-nucleotide long non-coding RNA is filed under the name Taeniopygia guttata (zebra finch). RNAcentral's name for it is "lncRNA (ENSTGUG00000024625.1)". Lineage: Eukaryota; Metazoa; Chordata; Aves; Passeriformes; Estrildidae. The record is from RNAcentral.